CAAACCGGAGGAAGGUGGGGACGACGUCAAAUCAUCAUGCCCCUUAUGACCUGGGCUACACACGUGCUACAAUGGAUGGUACAACGAGUUGCGAACUCGCGAGAGUAAGCUAAUCUCUUAAAGCCAUUCUCAGUUCGGAUUGUAGGCUGCAACUCGCCUACAUGAAGUCGGAAUCGCUAGUAAUCGCGGAUCAGCAUGCCGCGGUGAAUACGUUCCCGGGUCUUGUACACACCGCCCGUCACACCAUGGGAGUUGAUAAUACCCGAAGCCUGUGACUAAACGAGGAGCAGUCGAAGGUAGGAUUGAUGACUGGGGUGAAGUCGUAACAAGGUAGCCGUAUCGGAAGGUGCGGCUGGAUCACCUCCUUUCUAAGGAG
RNAcentral lists this ribosomal RNA (376 nucleotides) under Bacteroides ovatus. Its description in RNAcentral is "bacterial SSU rRNA". It matches the Rfam family "Bacterial small subunit ribosomal RNA", at positions 1159 to 1533 of the family's 1533-position model. Lineage: Bacteria; Pseudomonadati; Bacteroidota; Bacteroidia; Bacteroidales; Bacteroidaceae. The record is from RNAcentral.